RNAcentral lists this microRNA precursor (87 nucleotides) under Canis lupus familiaris (dog). Its description in RNAcentral is "mir-8799 microRNA precursor family". It matches the Rfam family "mir-8799 microRNA precursor family". RNAcentral also lists the same sequence under 1 other name. The record is from Rfam by way of RNAcentral. Lineage: Eukaryota; Metazoa; Chordata; Mammalia; Carnivora; Canidae.
GGGGUGCAGGAUCCUGGGCUGUGUCCCCCAGCGCCCUGGGAUCUGGGGCCUGCGCUGCCGGAAUCACGCUCCCGGGGCCACCACUCC